ACCUAAUAAAUGAAAGAGCAUGUACGAAUGAGAAUUAGCAGGCGCGUAUGUGACACGCGGCUAUGAAAACGGGAAUUCCUUGUUUUGUUCAUACGGGUAGUAUUGCCAUGUGGCAGACCUCUGACCCAGAUUAACAACCACCUCUCAAAAACUCUCCGGUAUAAAAGGUCUGCAGCUUCUGCAAUCAUCGCCUGUUCAUACUUAAACACGAACUGAAGAGCAACUUGUGAAAUUUAUUUAAAAAAGAAAAAAAUUUGUUCAAGAUAUCCAUCAGAAGAUUUUCAGCUGAUUUCUACAAUGAUUUCAACGAGAAGACUCAUCAUUAUCUUCAUUGCAACUCUAGCUAUGUUUGCGGCCUUAAUAAAUGCAAAACCAGCAACGGUCCGCCCAGCAGGAGCCAUAACAGCGUAUCCUAUACCACAGCGACCACCAUACGCACCAAAUCCAUGGGUUUAUCCAAAACCCACGGUCGAACCAAUUCAUCAAUGAAAAUCAUUAAGUUGGAAGAUCUAGGUGGAAGAAGAAAUAUGUAGCAAGGAAAAAAUAUUUAAUUGCAAAUGAAACGUGUUAACGCACUGUAAACUAUAAGUCAUUCAUGAGUUAACCAUGGUCAGGUACAAUUACUAAGCAGACCACAUGUGUUGUAUAUGAAGAGCAAAUGAAAUAAAAGAAGAGAGAGAGAGAGAGACAGAUAGACAGACAGAAAGAGAGAGAGCAACUUCUCGGGUACGUGUAAUAAUAUCGGGUGUCCAAUUCGUCAGUCAUUGCUUUGUAAAAAGUAUUACAGACUAUUGAAAACAAUCAAGCGAUACACAAUUUUAUUUGGUUUGCGUUUGGUUAUAUAUAGAAGUAUAGAUUGUAUAAUGUAUACAGAAUGUUAUGUAACUGCAAAUAAUUUAUAAUCCAGUAAAAUCCAAACAACAAAAUGUAUAAUAAAAAUUGACUCACACUGUUCAAAAAAACAAUGUACAAAAUUAUAACAAAAAAUUAUUCAAUUUACAAGAAAACAAUUAUUAGUAUUUAACGCGUUAAUUUUUCUACAAUCCCAUUUUCCUAAUAUAAUUACAUAUUCAUGUCAUUCCAAAAAGUUACUUUCUACUCUUGCGCGAAACGCUAUCGAUAACUAAAACGCAUUAUCAAUUUCGAGAAAGUGUCUAACAGUUUCCAAACAAUGAAAAUACGAAUCUUGUCGUAAAAAUAAAGACUUACCUUUCGAUGAACUGCUCCUUUGUUCUUCAUUUCAAACGUACCGAAGGUGUUGUAAAAAGAUGCUGCUAAUGAUGGCUUCUACUCCUCGCUGAUUCUUUAGCCAUCUUGAAAAUGACAAACGUUUGAUAAUUAUACAGGGUGUUCAGAAAAAAACAUUCAAUAUUCAAAUAUAUGGUACAUAUGACACACUAUACUGAGCAAGAAAACUUUCGUAAAAUUUUCGAGAUGGUUCGCGACUUUAUAAAAUGUCAAGGGUAUAUAGGAAUGAAAAGAGGACAUGUGGGACACUUUCUAUAAAUAUAGUAGUAAGUAAUCAGUAGUAAGUCAAUUAUGCUGCUAAG
This 1550-nucleotide unclassified non-coding RNA is filed under the name Bombus terrestris (buff-tailed bumblebee). RNAcentral describes it as "misc RNA ENSBTSG00005035410.1". Lineage: Eukaryota; Metazoa; Arthropoda; Insecta; Hymenoptera; Apidae. The record is from RNAcentral.